Physella acuta is the source of this 1412-nucleotide long non-coding RNA. RefSeq lists it as uncharacterized. The record is from RefSeq and is a predicted model, not a curated record. Lineage: Eukaryota; Metazoa; Mollusca; Gastropoda; Physidae.
UCUUUUUCAAAUCGGACAUUUUUAGAAGCGAUCUACACUUUUCUGCUUUUUGCUAAAUGGCUUUCACAUAUUCAUAACCAUGGAUCCAAGAGUCUAAGUUGAAAGUCUUCUACCAGUUUAUUCUGAGCUACUCCUUUUGGCUCAAAAGAUAGUGAGUUGUCCAACGAUGAAAUAGAGAACGUAAACAGUACCCGGGACCUAUCGGAUGUUGGUGAUGAAGAUUUGUCUGACGUAGUUGAAGAGUAUGCCCAUUUGCGAAAAAUGAUGAAACUCCUCAGGACCUUCUCAAUUGUCUACACCAAGGUCUUCAUUAGCAUCAACAGAAUGAUCAGUCCCAGUAUACAGCAAAUGUUCCACCAUUUCCUGAUCCUAGGAGAGAAGCCAAACAUCAGAGGCGGCCAUUGGAUUAUUUCAACAUCUUUACAGAUAAUCUGUGUUCGGGCAGUUGUGUAUCAAUCCAACCUGUACUGUCCUCUAACAUGACAUCAACAGUCCUUUAGCACUGGAUAAAGAUUAUUCCUGGAAAUUAGAUUUUACAUAAACAUUGUAAAAAAUUCCUAAAUGCCGUGUGUAUUGGAGCCUUGCCACCAAGUGUGUUACGGUCACAUACGUCAUGACCAUCAACAGAUUCAAGCGGAUUAAGACUAAUCAGCACCUGUCAAUGUCCUCAGCAGGACAAACAAUCCAUUAGCACGGGAUAAGAUUGAGCUAAAACAUUUCCUAGGAAUUGUGUGUAUUACAUAAAGAUUCUAAAAACUCUUAGAUGCCGAGUGUAUUGGAGCCUUGCCACUAAGUGUGUUACGGUCACAUACGUCAUGACCAUCAACAGAUUCAAGCGGAAUAAGAAUAAUCUGCACCUAUCAAACAAUGUCCUCAGCAGGACAUAAACAAUCCACUAGUACUGGAUAAAGAUGAACAAAAACAUCUCCUGGAAAUUGUGUUUUACAUAAACAUUGUAAAAAAAAUUCUAGUUCCCAAAUGUCUUGGUGCCUUGCCACCUAAUUUGUUACUGUCAUAGAUAUAACCAUCAAUAGCAGUCCAACCUACAACCAUAGAAAGCCAUAUAGAUGGGCUACAAAGUCUUUGUUGUGUCCAACAACUUGUAUAAUCCAAGAUUUUGAAGUGCAUACAGGUAAAGCUACAAAGUGACAAGAUGACAAAGUACUGUUGCUAAUAUUGAGGCAUCAUUACAGAGUGUUCCCCAAUAUGUUGGGCUCAAGAUUUACAUAGACAAUAUUAUUUAGUUCAUCAUUUAGUUGCAAGUUGUUCUGCACAAACAAUCCACAGAAGUUUUUAUUUGUUGUAUAGCAAACAAAAAAAAUGCUAAUAAAUUUUUUACUAAAUAAACCUGCAUGUAAUUUUUUAGUUUUUUUCUCUUUCAGUGUACAUGUUUUUACUUUUGUUUUCAUCAU